This 1408-nucleotide ribosomal RNA is filed under the name uncultured Bacilli bacterium. Its description in RNAcentral is "bacterial SSU rRNA". It matches the Rfam family "Bacterial small subunit ribosomal RNA", at positions 27 to 1393 of the family's 1533-position model. Lineage: Bacteria; Bacillati; Bacillota; Bacilli. The record is from RNAcentral.
GGACGAACGCUGGCGGCGUGCCUAAUACAUGCAAGUCGAACGAGCUCUCCUAAAUUGAUUUUAUGCUUGCAUAAAUGAUUUUUAGAUUCGGAGCGAGUGGCGAACUGGUGAGUAACACGUGGGUAACCUGCCCCGAAGCGGGGGAUAACAUUUGGAAACAAAUGCUAAUACCGCAUAAUUAGUUGGAACCGCAUGGUUCCAACUUGAAAGAUGGCUCUGCUAUCACUUUGGGAUGGACCCGCGCCGUAUUAGUUAGUUGGUGAGAUAAAAGCCCACCAAGACGAUGGUACGUAGCCGACCUGAGAGGGUAAUCGGCCACAUUGGGACUGAGACACGGCCCAGACUCCUACGGGAGGCAGCAGUAGGGAAUCUUCCACAAUGGACGAAAGUCUGAUGGAGCAACGCCGCGUGAGUGAUGAAGGUUUUCGGAUCGUAAAACUCUGUUGUUAAAGAAGAACAAGUGUUAGAGUAACUGUUAACACUUUGACGGUAUUUAACCAGAAAGCCACGGCUAACUACGUGCCAGCAGCCGCGGUAAUACGUAGGUGGCAAGCGUUGUCCGGAUUUAUUGGGCGUAAAGCGAGCGCAGGCGGUUUUGUAAGUCUGCUGUGAAAGCCCUCAGCUCAACUGAGGAAGUGCAGUGGAAACUACAAAACUUGAGUACAGAAGAGGAAAGUGGAACUCCAUGUGUAGCGGUGAAAUGCGUAGAUAUAUGGAAGAACACCAGUGGCGAAGGGCGGCUUUCUGGUCUGUUACUGACGCUGAGGCUCGAAAGCAUGGGUAGCGAACAGGAUUAGAUACCCUGGUAGUCCAUGCCGUAAACGAUGAAUACUAGGUGUUGGAGGGUUUCCGCCCUUCAGUGCCGCAGCUAACGCAUUAAGUAUUCCGCCUGGGGAGUACGACCGCAAGGUUGAAACUCAAAGGAAUUGACGGGGGCCCGCACAAGUGGUGGAGCAUGUGGUUUAAUUCGAUGCUACGCGAAGAACCUUACCAGCUCUUGACAUCUUCUGCCAACCCAAGAGAUUGGGCGUUCCCUUCGGGGACAGAAUGACAGGUGGUGCAUGGUUGUCGUCAGCUCGUGUCGUGAGAUGUUGGGUUAAGUCCCGCAACGAGCGCAACCCUUAUUAUUAGUUGCCAGCAUUUAGUUGGGCACUCUAGUGAGACUGCCGGUGAUAAACCGGAGGAAGGUGGGGACGACGUCAAAUCAUCAUGCCCCUUAUGAGCUGGGCUACACACGUGCUACAAUGGAUGGUACAACGAGUCGCGAAACCGCGAGGUCAAGCUAAUCUCUUAAAGCCAUUCUCAGUUCGGAUUGCAGGCUGCAACUCGCCUGCAUGAAGUUGGAAUCACUAGUAAUCGUGGAUCAGCAUGCCACGGUGAAUACGUUCCCGGGCCUUGUACACACCGC